UACGUAGGUGGCAAGCGUUAUCCGGAUUUACUGGGUGUAAAGGGCGCGUAGGCGGGAUCGCAAGUCAGAUGUGAAAACUAUGGGCUUAACCCAUAGCCUGCAUUUGAAACUGCGGUUCUUGAGUGAUGGAGAGGCAGGCGGAAUUCCUAGUGUAGCGGUGAAAUGCGUAGAUAUUAGGAGGAACACCAGUGGCGAAGGCGGCCUGCUGGACAUUAACUGACGCUGAUGCGCGAAAGCGUGGGGAGCAAACAGG
Molecule: ribosomal RNA, 253 nt
Filed under: uncultured bacterium
Lineage: Bacteria
Description: partial 16S ribosomal RNA
Rfam family: Bacterial small subunit ribosomal RNA
Source: RNAcentral